RNAcentral lists this ribosomal RNA (588 nucleotides) under uncultured bacterium. Its description in RNAcentral is "bacterial SSU rRNA". It matches the Rfam family "Bacterial small subunit ribosomal RNA", at positions 78 to 667 of the family's 1533-position model. The record is from RNAcentral.
CUUUAGCUGACGAGUGCGCGGACGGGUGAGUAAUACUUAAUGAACAUGCCUUUGUGUGGGGGAUAACCAUUGGAAACGAUGGCUAAUACCGCAUAAUGUCUUUGGACCAAAGAGGGCUUUCGGGCUCUCGCGCAAAGAGUGGCCUAAGUGAGAUUAGCUUGUUGGUGAGGUAAAGGCUCACCAAGGGGACGAUCUCUAGCUGUUCUGAGAGGAAGAUCGGCCACCCUGCCACUGUCACACGGCCCAGACUCCUACGGAAGGCAGCAGUGGGGAAUAUUGCCCGAUGCGGGCAACCCUGAUGCAGGCAUGCCGCGUGAGUGAAGAAGGACUUCGGCUUGUGAAGUACUUUCGACUGUGACGAAAGGAUGAUGUCCAAUACCCUUCAGGUGUGACGUCAGCAACAUAAGAAGCACCGGCUAACUCCGUGCCAGCACUCGCGGUAAUACGGAUGGAGCUAGCGUAGUUCGGAAUUACUGGGCUUACAGCGUAUGUACGUGGACUAGAUAGUCAGGAGUGAAAUCCCAGGGCUCAACCCUGGAACUGCUUCUGAUACUUCUAGUCUAGAAAUCCUGGAGAGGUAGGAAGAAU